GGAAUAUUGGACAAUGGGCGAAAGCCUGAUCCAGCCAUGCCGCGUGUGUGAAGAAGGUCUUCGGAUUGUAAAGCACUUUAAGUUGGGAGGAAGGGCAUUUACCUAAUACGUAAGUGUUUUGACGUUACCGACAGAAUAAGCACCGGCUAACUCUGUGCCAGCAGCCGCGGUAAUACAGAGGGUGCAAGCGUUAAUCGGAAUUACUGGGCGUAAAGCGCGCGUAGGUGGUUUGUUAAGUUGGAUGUGAAAUCCCCGGGCUCAACCUGGGAACUGCAUCCAAAACUGGCAAGCUAGAGUAUGGUAGAGGGUGGUGGAAUUUCCUGUGUAGCGGUGAAAUGCGUAGAUAUAGGAAGGAACACCAGUGGCGAAGGCGACCACCUGGACUGAUACUGACACUGAGGUGCGAAAGCGUGGGGAGCAAACAGGAUUAGAUACCCCUG
RNAcentral lists this ribosomal RNA (440 nucleotides) under uncultured Pseudomonas sp. RNAcentral's name for it is "bacterial SSU rRNA". It matches the Rfam family "Bacterial small subunit ribosomal RNA", at positions 358 to 789 of the family's 1533-position model. The record is from RNAcentral. Lineage: Bacteria; Pseudomonadati; Pseudomonadota; Gammaproteobacteria; Pseudomonadales; Pseudomonadaceae.